This 517-nucleotide ribosomal RNA is filed under the name uncultured Glomus. RNAcentral describes it as "SSU rRNA". It matches the Rfam family "Eukaryotic small subunit ribosomal RNA", at positions 569 to 1090 of the family's 1831-position model. Lineage: Eukaryota; Fungi; Glomeromycota; Glomeromycetes; Glomerales; Glomeraceae. The record is from RNAcentral.
AGCAGCCGCGGUAAUUCCAGCUCCAAUAGCGUAUAUUAAAGUUGUUGCAGUUAAAAAGCUCGUAGUUGAAUUUCGGGGUUAGUAGGUUGGUCAUGCCUCUGGUAUGUACUGGUCUCACUGAUUCCUCCUUCCUGAUGAACCUUAAUGCCAUUAAUUUGGUGUUUUGGGGAAUUUGGACUGUUACCUUGAAAAAUUAGAGUGUUUAAAGCAAGCUAACGCUUGAAUACAUUAGCACGGAAUAAUGAAAUAGGACGUUCGAUCCUAUUUUGUUGGUUUCUAGGAUUGACGUAAUGAUUAAUAGGGAUAGUUGGGGGCAUUAGUAUUCAAUUGUCAGAGGUGAAAUUCUUGGAUUUAUUGAAGACUAACUACUGCGAAAGCAUUUGCCAAGGAUGUUUUCAUUAAUCAAGAACGAAAGUUAGGGGAUCGAAGACGAUCAGAUACCGUCGUAGUCUCAACCAUAAACGAUGCCGAACCAGGGAUCAGUGGAUGUUGCUUUUAGGACUCCACUGGCACCUUA